Ictidomys tridecemlineatus (thirteen-lined ground squirrel) is the source of this 1329-nucleotide non-coding RNA. Lineage: Eukaryota; Metazoa; Chordata; Mammalia; Rodentia; Sciuridae. The record is from RefSeq and is a predicted model, not a curated record.
AACUAGGACAAGUUAGUGUUAUCUGUAGAAAGCUACUUUCUUGCAUGUAUAUCAGAACAGUUGCUCCUCGGUAAGCUAUUGAGACAAGCAAACUAAGCAAGCUAAUGCUGGUGAUGUCACUGCCUCUGCAACUGAACUAUAAAAUCCCUCUCUGAAUAGGGAUGGGCAUGAAACUGAGGACAUUGUGGAAAGGAUAUAUAUCAUUCAUCUGGCUGGCCGCUACUGGACAAAGCACCAUGAGGGAGAGGAGGCACUGCUUGGCAAAGCACUGUGAGGGAUAGUGGUACGCUCUGAUCAGCCUCUCACCACUGAACUCUUCUUGGAGCAGUCUUUGAUCUAAUAUGAUUCUUGCUGGCCUGGAGUUAGAAGAAAAGAAACCUGCAGCCUUUAGUGAAAAAAGGCUGGGCUCCUGGGGAGAGGCUGCAGUUGCAUUUAAAGAAAGAGCCUUGACAAGCCUCAUAGGUUCUGAAUGAUCUGGGACUGGCUGACGUAAAAAGAUUUAGGUCUAACUUGAGCAAGAAAGUGAAGCUCACAAGCAAGAUCCAACAUGAACUGAACCUCAGCAUAAAAUUUGGAAUAUGGAAAAGUGGAUGCUACUUACAUUGUCCUUUGUCUCCACAUCCGGGUAGGAGACUCUACAAGAAAAAUCCCUGUCAUCAAAAUUUGUAGAAGUCUCUGAGCAUCCACCAUUGCAAAGGAAGAGAAGCACCAUUAGGCAGUGCCUGGGAGGAGGGCCUUAGUGCAGAGAGUAGGCUGUCUCUGCCUUCUUGGUCUUGGGGCUGAACUAAAGCAGUCCUUGCUGUUGCUGUUGGGGUCCUUUUAUAUAUUUCAAACUUGUGCUUUAAAUAAAUUUACCAAAAACUUCUAACAUGAAAAGAAAUGCUACUGGCAGAGUGACAAGAAAAAAGGAUAAAAAUAUUUUCAAAGUGCCAGCUUGAUUCUUUAAGAAACAUAUUGCAUCUUUAAGCAACAUGGUAUGCAUUCCUUCUGCUCCACUCUGAAUAUCUACCCUGCUUCUUUGACCUGGCCUAACUUUUUAUUGCCUUCACCCUGUUUUAGCUCUCUCCAGUUUUCUAUCCUGUCCUAUAGCCUCAUUCUCUAUCCCCCCUGCCUUUUCUCUCAUUCAUCUUCUCCAUCAAUUCCAGAGCAAUAUUUCUAAGAUGUGAUGUCAAUCAUGUGCCUUCUUAUUUUUUUCAACUUUAUUGAAGCAUAAUUGGUUUACCAAAACUGCAUUUAUAUAAUUUGGUGAGUUUGGAUAAAUGUUUACACUCAUGUUACCAUCACCAGUAUCCAGAUAGUAAACAUCUCCAUCAACUCCAAAAGUUUUUU